This 1081-nucleotide small RNA is filed under the name Pongo abelii (Sumatran orangutan). RNAcentral describes it as "retained intron". The record is from RNAcentral. Lineage: Eukaryota; Metazoa; Chordata; Mammalia; Primates; Hominidae.
GAUGGCGACCGCUCCGCGACGUUGAGGCCUCGCUGGGCGUUCAGACUCAGGGUGAUGGCAGGAGAGCUGGCUGACAAAAAGGACCGUGAUGCAUCACCUUCCAAGGAGGAAAGGAAGCGAUCACGGACUCCUGACAGAGAGCGGGAUAGAGACCGGGACCGGAAGUCUUCCCCAUCUAAAGAUAGAAAGCGGCAUCGUUCAAGGGAUAGACGUCGAGGAGGCAGCCGUUCUCGCUCUCGUUCCCGUUCCAAAUCUGCAGAAAGAGAACGACGGCACAAAGAACGAGAACGAGAUAAGGAGCGGGAUCGGAAUAAGAAGGACCGAGAUCGAGACAAGGAUGGGCACAGACGGGACAAGGACCGUAAACGAUCCAGCUUAUCUCCUGGUCGAGGAAAAGACUUUAAAUCUCGGAAGGACAGAGACUCUAAGAAGGAUGAAGAGGAUGAACAUGGUGAUAAGAAGCCUAAGGCCCAGCCAUUAUCCCUGGAGGAGCUUCUGGCCAAGAAAAAGGCUGAAGAAGAAGCUGAGGCUAAGCCCAAGUUCCUCUCCAAAGCAGAACGAGAGGCUGAAGCUCUAAAGCGACGGCAGCAGGAGGUGGAAGAGCGGCAGAGGAUGCUUGAAGAAGAGAGGAAGAAAAGGAAACAGUUCCAAGACUUGGGCAGGAAGAUGUUGGGUUCGUUUUUCUACCCCGUGUAGCCCCUAGAUGGAAGAGGAAAGAGUGGGAUGAGAUACAGUGUCUCUUAGGAGAGAUAGAAACCUGUUCACUCUGGAGUUUGGAAAAGGGAAAGAUGGUGGGAGUUUAUGAGAAAACAUUUUUCUGUUAGAUCUCCAUUUACCCCAUAUCAUGAGUCUACCCCUUUUUUCUUCAUUUGGUGUUCCUCGUCUGGAUUCCCUCCAUUCUCUCUCCUCUUUUCUUCCAUGAGCUCUUCUGCAGCUUUGCUUUCUUUGGUCUGCAGAAGAUCCUCAGGAACGGGAACGUCGGGAACGCAGGGAGAGGAUGGAACGGGAGACCAAUGGAAAUGAGGAUGAGGAAGGGCGGCAGAAGAUCCGGGAAGAGAAGGAUAAGAGCAAGGAACUGCAU